Canis lupus familiaris (dog) is the source of this 83-nucleotide non-coding RNA. NCBI's taxonomy places the organism in Eukaryota, Metazoa, Chordata, Mammalia, Carnivora, Canidae. The record is from Rfam.
GCCUGGGUGACUCAGUGGUUGAGUGUCUGCCUUUGGCUCAGAUCAUGAUCCCGGGAUCCUGGGAUCAAGUCCCACAUCAGGCU